CCUACGGGAGGCAGCAGUCGGGAAUUUUGGGCAAUGGGCGAAAGCCUGACCCAGCAACGCCGCGUGAAGGAUGAAGUAUUUCGGUAUGUAAACUUCGAAAGAAUAGGAAGAAUUAAUGACGGUACUAUUUAUAAGGUCCGGCUAACUACGUGCCAGCAGCCGCGGUAAUACGUAGGGACCAAGCGUUGUUCGGAUUUACUGGGCGUAAAGGGCGCGUAGGCGGCAAUUCAAGUCAUCUGUGAAAUCUCCGGGCUUAACUCGGAACGGUCAGAUGA
Molecule: ribosomal RNA, 275 nt
Filed under: uncultured bacterium
Lineage: Bacteria
Description: partial 16S ribosomal RNA
Rfam family: Bacterial small subunit ribosomal RNA
Source: RNAcentral